AGCACUCCUAUACUAAUUUUAAGCAUAGGUAACAUUGGUAUAAACCCUUAAUAGAUGAUGACAUUAUUUUGAAGUAAUUCUAUUGUAGUGAAGUUUACUGAAAUGCUGUUGUUUUUUACCUUUCAUUGUGUUCAGUUCAUUGUAAUGCAGAGUUAUUCACAUACAUGAUUUCAUGAUGUUGUUUCAUUAUAUGGGAUAUAGUGUUUGAAUUAGCAUUAGAAAGGAUAGAGAGAAAGUCUCAGAAGAGUGUGAUUAAGCAUAGUAAAGGG
RNAcentral lists this long non-coding RNA (269 nucleotides) under Panax ginseng (ginseng). RNAcentral describes it as "long non-coding RNA (PGIN_LNC005710)". The record is from RNAcentral. Lineage: Eukaryota; Viridiplantae; Streptophyta; Magnoliopsida; Apiales; Araliaceae.